CCCGUCUUUCUCUUUCCUUAGGAGGAAGCUGCGGUUCUUUAGCAGACUGUUUGGGUGGAGGUGGUGAGGAUGGUGCUUUGGGUUUCUCUGCUACAGGAGCACUUUCCACUCUGGGCUUCUGCUUAUCUUCAGCAGGAGGAGAAGGUUUGGUAUCAGUUGUCUCUGGUAUCUUCUGAGAGGGGGUAACCUGAGAUGCAGUAUCCUCAGACUUUGAUAUAAUAGCGACCUUGGUUCCUGGUUCUACAGUAUCUCCUUCGUUGACUAGAAACUGCAUUAGAAGACAAAAUCAAACAGGUCUAGUCAGUGAAGACUAACUAUAGAGAGACACCAGAAAGAGAACAACAAUAACGACUGAAUAAACAACACAAAGAG
Molecule: small RNA, 372 nt
Filed under: Arabidopsis thaliana (thale cress)
Lineage: Eukaryota; Viridiplantae; Streptophyta; Magnoliopsida; Brassicales; Brassicaceae
Description: ATSL229850
Source: RNAcentral